RNAcentral lists this ribosomal RNA (307 nucleotides) under uncultured eukaryote. Its description in RNAcentral is "partial 18S ribosomal RNA". It matches the Rfam family "Eukaryotic small subunit ribosomal RNA", at positions 1470 to 1796 of the family's 1831-position model. The record is from RNAcentral.
CCCUUAGACGUUCUGGGCCGCACGCGCGCUACACUGACGAAGGCAACGAGCUUUCCUUUACCGAAAGGUACGGGUAAUCUUUUGAAACUUCGUCGUGCUGGGGAUAGAUCCUUGCAAUUUUUGAUCUUAAACGAGGAAUGCCUAGUAAGCGCAAGUCAUCAACUUGCGUUGAUUACGUCCCUGCCCUUUGUACACACCGCCCGUCGCUACUACCGAUUGAAUGGUUUAGUGAGGCCUUCGGAUCCGCGACUCGUUUGUGGAGAAGUUGGACAAACUCAGUCAUUUAGAGGAAGUAAAANUCGUAACA